This 440-nucleotide unclassified non-coding RNA is filed under the name Bombus terrestris (buff-tailed bumblebee). RNAcentral describes it as "misc RNA ENSBTSG00005027000.1". The record is from RNAcentral. Lineage: Eukaryota; Metazoa; Arthropoda; Insecta; Hymenoptera; Apidae.
UUUACGAAGUACACACAACAUCGAAGGCACCAGUUGCCAUAUUAAACGGAAUAUCUCGAUGACGCGUUUCUUCCAGGAAGAGAGAAAGUCAAGAUGAUUUGUUUCUUUUUUCUUUCCCCUCCCCUUUAACGCAUGCCCCAGGAACAAGUUUCGAACGAAAUCGAUGAUUUUAAGUAAACAACAUUCAUCUGCCAUGUGAGAAUGGGCCAUGGUACGUCACAGGCAUCGCUUAUGCUAAUUUCUAAUGUGACUUCGUUUCGUCAUGAACAUUUUAUAGAAGAAUGGAUUCUACUUAUAUGGCAAGAUGAUCGGGGUUACUUAUUAAACUCUAAGCGAAUGAUUUUGGUACCCUGGAUGAUUGCUAACAGUAGAUCAAAUUGUUCGAAGAAUAACAGUUGAAAAAUUGAAGGAAACUCGUCUCUUUCAUCCUUCAACUCAUU